Molecule: ribosomal RNA, 254 nt
Filed under: uncultured bacterium
Lineage: Bacteria
Description: partial 16S ribosomal RNA
Rfam family: Bacterial small subunit ribosomal RNA
Source: RNAcentral
UACGGGGGGAGCAAGCGUUGUUCGGAUUUACUGGGCGUAAAGGGCGCGUAGGCGGCCACCGCAAGUCGACUGUGAAAUCUCCGGGCUUAACCCGGAAAGGUCAGCCGAUACUGCGGGGCUAGAGUGCAGAAGGGGCAACUGGAAUUCUCGGUGUAGCGGUGAAAUGCGCAGAUAUCAGGAAGAACACCCGUGGCGAAGGCGGCUCUCUGGUACGUGACUGACGCUGAGACGCGAAAGCGUGGGGAGCGAACAGG